Molecule: ribosomal RNA, 494 nt
Filed under: uncultured bacterium
Lineage: Bacteria
Description: partial 16S ribosomal RNA
Rfam family: Bacterial small subunit ribosomal RNA
Source: RNAcentral
GACGAACGCUGGCGGCGUGCUUAACACAUGCAAGUCGAACGGAAAGGCCUGCUUUCCCUUGUGGAUUGCGGGUACUCGAGUGGCGAACGGGUGAGUAACACGUGAGUGAUCUGCCCCCAACUUGGGUAUAAGCCUGGGAAACUGGGUCUAAUUCCCGAUAGGACUGCAGGGUGGUGCCUGUGGUGGAAAACGAUUUUCUAGUGGUUGGGGAUGAGCUCGCGGCCUAUCAGCUUGUUGGUGGGGUAAUGGCCUACCAAGGCGGCGACGGGUAGCCGGCCUGAGAGGGUGGACGGCCACAUUGGGACAGAGAUACGGCCCAGACUCCUACGGGAGGCAGCAGUGGGGAAUAUUACACAAUGGGCGGAAGCCUGAUGCAGCGACGCCGCGUGGGGGAUGACGGCCUUCGGGUUGUAAACUCCUUUCGACCGCGAGGAAGCCACCUGGUUGGAAGGGUGGUGACGGUAGUGGUAGAAGAAGCACCGGCUAACUACGUG